GCGCCGCGUUGUACUGUAACGAAGGUUGCUAACAAGUUCUUGGAUUGUUCUUGGAUUGGAUUGAUAAGAGAAAGAACGGUCGCUACCCAAAUGGGACAUUUUGUCAGCCCUUUCGGCGACUUCCCUGGACUGGCAAUGAUGUUAUUAUAAUGAAUUGAAUUAAUUUUAAAUAAGACUUCCCUGGCAUAAUUAUAUUUCGUUUCUGUGUUUCAGAUCAUGCUAAAUUUCACUGAGCAACACAUACGAUGAAGGGUCUGUGUAACCCAGCGUGACGCUACUACAAUCAGCGAUGGCCAAACUGGGACACUACAAACUGGACAACGGAGACCGUACCCCUUCCAGUAUAUUCCCUGUAAAACCUUUGUUUAAGCAGCGUAAAACAGGUCACUGGCUUGUGGCACAGAGGAGCUUGUUAGAGCAUGAAUAUAGAAGAUCACUGAAGAAAAAAUCGCAGGGACUCUUGACAGCUGAGGAGCGUCUAGCUCUUUCAGACAGUACUGAAUUAUUGGGUUCCAGCAAAGUGGAAAAUAGAGGCACUGUUUUAGAUGGAUAUUUUCUUAUGACAUUACAUUGUGUUGACAGGCCUUCUGAGCUGUGCUCUGUUGACAUUAGUGGACAGAAACUAUACUCGGUCAACCUAGAGAACGUGGAGGAAUUUGACAAUGUUGCUUAUAUCAAUGCUUCUGACAAUCGUUUGAACUUAGAAGCUUUCAGUGGGUUUCCAAUCUUAAGGGAGCUGGAACUGUCACUAAACGGCCUACGUAACAUAAUUGUCAAAGAUAGAGACUUUCCACAUCUGGAGACGUUGGAUCUCUCUUACAACAGCCUGUCAAGUGAUGAUAUCUUGGGAAUUAGUAUGCUUCCUUGUCUAAAAAUUCUUCAUCUCACAGGGAAUAAACUUCUGACUCUGCCAGACAUCAUGAGUGUUCCACACCAAGAGUCUUCUCAUUUGAAAUCGGCACAAGAUAGACGAUUUUGUGCCCUUGAGGUUCUGAUGUUAGAUGACAACUGCCUGUCUUCUCCAAGAAUCUUCACCAGCCUUGCCAAUCUGAAAAGGCUACGGCACUUAAACCUGCAGGGCAACAAUAUCAGCAAAGUACCUUACCUGCAGCAGAUAGCAGACUUUGGGGUCAUGGACUUUUUCACAAAGAAACAUAGUAAACAUCCUGCACAAGACAGAGCACCCAGCUUGAAAAAUUAUUCUCAUUUGAAGUUAAUUCAACAAGAACAUGGUGACAGCUGUACUGAUGAACUCCAAAUACCGUUUCCAGAACUCCAGCACCUGAACUUGGCUGACAACAAGAUUGCAGAGGAAGAAGCUCUGCUAGCUGUGGCCCUUUUCCCGUUGCUCAGUGAGCUGGUGAUUCAUUCAAAUCCUCUUACCACACAAAGGAGUGGUGACCCCCCGAUUCUAACAAGCAUUCUUCAGGACCAUCUGGGCAUUCAAAUAGAGCGCAAGAAGACGGAAAUCCCAAUGAAAUCACGUACUAUGGUCUCAGUCAAUCCAAAACGAAAGAUAACCACAAAAAUCCCAAAGGUCCCAAAAUUGCCUUUAUACCUCGAGGCUCCCAGUAAUCCGUCUCCACAUGACAUUGUGUCAGUUGUUGAAAAAAAAACCAAAGACGCAUUCGAGAAGAGUGCUUUCCCCCGAGAAUGUUUGCCACUGCAGUCCUCAAAGCAUCAGGAAGACACUUCUCAAAGUGAAGGCACAGUGAAUCCAGCGGGUGACCACAUGCUGGAAACUUCAGAUCAGACACCCAGAGCUCCGCCAAAUGUGGAAGACAAAGAUGGAAAAGCAUUCUUUAUGACACAGGUGGAUGAUGAACCUAUGCAGCACAUGUUAGAGGUGAAUCAACCAAAACAUGAACAUACACUUCCAGAGCAAUUCAGAGGCUAUGAAAUGCUCUUUGAUGCAAAACCCGACCCUGAUAUGAUUCAGCCAAGAGGAAUUCAACAGACUACCAGAGCCUUGGAACAGGCUCUCAGGAAUCUUCAUGUAAACAGAGAUACCAGUGUGGAUGACAACCACCUUCCAAAGCCAAACAGAGAAAAUAAAAAGGUUGCAAAACCACUAGAAGCAAACACAAGACUGAUAAAAAAAGACAGGGUUGAAGAUUUCCUAAUUAUGAUGAAAGACAGAAAAACGACACAGGAAGUCCAAUUGGACGAAGUUCUUAAAGGGAAGAACGUCAACAAGAAAGAAUAUGAAGAGGCUCUGUCGUUAUUGCAGGACAUAAAGGGGAAAUAUAGGAGUGUUUACAUGAAAGCGAUGGAGCAGGCAAAUCAGGAGCUGCAUGUCCCGUUCCUUCUACAAUGCAUCAUUCCGGUGUGAAUUUUGAAAUCUGUUAUUUUUCCCUGCUUUGCACAUUUUAAGAAGAGACGAUGCAUCCCUGCUAAUGAUAGGCAAAAUGACGCCUCAUCAACCAUUUACGGGAUUUUCUUUUACCUCAAGUUGUGGUUGAGUGGACUGAAAAGAACGGCAGCACCCAGCAGGGAGGCGCGCAUCUCCGGUGAAACUUUGCAAUCUUUUUAAUGACCUGAAGCGGAGUGUCUCAGCGCUUUGGGGGAUUUCUGUCGCAGUUAAAAUCUAAGGAUACUGUACUUUUUUUUUGGCAGC
Molecule: non-coding RNA, 2617 nt
Organism: Paramormyrops kingsleyae
Lineage: Eukaryota; Metazoa; Chordata; Actinopteri; Osteoglossiformes; Mormyridae
Source: RefSeq, a predicted model, not a curated record